Molecule: ribosomal RNA, 401 nt
Filed under: uncultured bacterium
Lineage: Bacteria
Description: bacterial SSU rRNA
Rfam family: Bacterial small subunit ribosomal RNA
Source: RNAcentral
CCUGGCUCAGAUUGAACGCUGGCGGCAUGCUUUACACAUGCAAGUCGAACGGCAGCACGGGUGCUUGCACCUGGUGGCGAGUGGCGGACGGGUGAGUAAUGCAUCGGAACGUGUCCUAAAGUGGGGGAUAACGCAUCGAAAGAUGUGCUAAUACCGCAUAUUCUCUGAGGAGGAAAGUAGGGGAUCGAAAGACCUUAUGCUUUUGGAGCGGCCGGUGUCUGAUUAGCUAGUUGGUAGGGUAAUGGCUUACCAAGGCGACGAUCAGUAGUUGGUCUGAGAGGACGACCAGCCACACUGGGACUGAGACACGGCCCAGACUCCUACGGGAGGCAGCAGUGGGGAAUUUUGGACAAUGGGCGCAAGCCUGAUCCAGCAAUGCCGCGUGAGUGAAGAAGGCCUGG